Dendroctonus ponderosae (mountain pine beetle) is the source of this 354-nucleotide long non-coding RNA. RefSeq lists it as uncharacterized. The transcript is spliced from 2 exons. The record is from RefSeq and is a predicted model, not a curated record. Lineage: Eukaryota; Metazoa; Arthropoda; Insecta; Coleoptera; Curculionidae.
UCAUCAGGUUCAACUGAUGUCAAUAAACUCUUGUCUUGUUUAGUCAUUAACUUGUCAAAGUCUUGUUUAGUCAUUAAACUAGUUACAUAUUCCUACACAGUGAUGCCCCUGUAUAAUAAUACGAGAUCAGCACCCAUGACACUGCAUGACACCAUAGAAUUAGCACAGUUGCCAGUUGUGCAAUAAAGUCUAGCGUUAGUUGAAAAUGUAUCCUUGCAGAAAUAGUACAUCACAAUUCAAGAGACGGAAGUCCAAACAAUGACCCAAUGUUACUUUCCUAUUAUUUACGACGGAAUAUGCGGUUUGUGGUGCAGCGGAUGAUAUGUAAAUUUUAAUACAAAUGAAAUGACUGCA